Molecule: long non-coding RNA, 269 nt
Filed under: Coturnix japonica (Japanese quail)
Lineage: Eukaryota; Metazoa; Chordata; Aves; Galliformes; Phasianidae
Description: lncRNA (ENSCJPG00005012511.1)
Source: RNAcentral
AAGAUCGCGUUCUCCUUCCUCCUCCCGCCCGCGAGGGGCGUUAUUGCCGCCCGGCCGUUGAGGACGAGGGUGUUUCCAUGAUGUCACGGGCGGCGCCUCGCGGCCAGUUUAGCCAUCAAAUCGAUUUGCGGUGCCCAAGAUGCAAAUGCAUUUGCUGACAGCUCAUCCGAGACGUCUGCCAAGCGCUCAGCAGGUGUCAAAGAGUUUCAGGACAGGAGUCAUGUAAGUGUGGAACUCAGCUGUCAGCUCUGAAAACCAAGUCCUGGUCU